UACGUAGGGGGCUAGCGUUGUCCGGAAUCAUUGGGCGUAAAGCGCGUGUAGGCGGUCCGGUAAGUCUGCUGUGAAAGUCCAGGGCUCAACCCUGGGAUGCCGGUGGAUACUGUCGAGCUCGAGUCCGGAAGAGGAGUGUGGAAUUCCUGGUGUAGCGGUGAAAUGCGCAGAUAUCAGGAGGAACACCAACGGCGAAGGCAGCACUCUGGGACGUGACUGACGCUGAGACGCGAAAGCGUGGGGAGCAAACAGG
RNAcentral lists this ribosomal RNA (253 nucleotides) under uncultured bacterium. RNAcentral's name for it is "partial 16S ribosomal RNA". It matches the Rfam family "Bacterial small subunit ribosomal RNA", at positions 524 to 776 of the family's 1533-position model. The record is from RNAcentral.